Molecule: ribosomal RNA, 253 nt
Filed under: uncultured bacterium
Lineage: Bacteria
Description: partial 16S ribosomal RNA
Rfam family: Bacterial small subunit ribosomal RNA
Source: RNAcentral
GACGUAGGGCGCAAGCGUUGUCCGGAAUUAUUGGGCGUAAAGAGCUCGUAGGCGGUCUGUCGCGUCUGCUGUGAAAACCUAGGGCUUAACUCUGGGCGUGCAGUGGGUACGGGCAGGCUAGAGUGCGGUAGGGGAGACUGGAAUUCCUGGUGUAGCGGUGAAAUGCGCAGAUAUUAGGAGGAACACCGGUGGCGAAGGCGGGUCUCUGGGCAGUAACUGACGCUGAGGAGCGAAAGCGUGGGGAGCGAACAGG